RNAcentral lists this long non-coding RNA (11585 nucleotides) under Panax ginseng (ginseng). RNAcentral's name for it is "long non-coding RNA (PGIN_LNC008125)". The stretch from base 9599 to 9705 matches the Rfam family "Plant small nucleolar RNA R71". Lineage: Eukaryota; Viridiplantae; Streptophyta; Magnoliopsida; Apiales; Araliaceae. The record is from RNAcentral.
AUAAUUAUCAUUCAACACUAAAGAUUCAUUGCAAGCCUAAAAAGUAAUUUUGUUCAUAAUUAAUGAAUUAAAAACUGAAUAAAGUAAAGAAAUCAUCAUCUCAAUUACAACAACUGAAUUUAAAAAGAAGAAUAGUAAUACACCACCCUUCUUGGCCUUCAAUUUUGCAAUCUUCGUGAAAUCACCUUCCUUCCUUUGCUCAUCCAAUAAUCUUCUCUCAAUUAUGGCUCUCCAAAAGUGUAGUUGAAAUUCCUUUCCCCUCUCCCCUCAGCCCUCUACUAAUUGACAUAAGUUAAUUUCCCCCCAACUGAACCAAAUCCAAUCCCAAUCCAUAUCAAAGUCAUCCCAUCCAAUCGAAUUGGGAAUUCUAAUAAAAAUCAAACUCCUAUUUGUACCCAACACAGCAAGUUUUUAACUCCAAAAAUCCCAAUUACUAUGAAAUAACUUCCUUGUCACUCCUAACUUGACCCUAUUACAUAAAGAAGUCGUAUAUCAAAAUAAAACUCAAUUUCAUGCAUAAAUAACCAAAUUAGCAACUGCCCCGUCCGACCGGCACGCCCCGCACCGGGUCCUUCAUUAAUGCAGCGCGGCCCGCGCUGGGUCAUCAGUAUGUAAUCUUCAUGUAGCGCGCCCCGCGCCAUCUUCUAUAGUCACGGCGCGCCCUGCACCGGUGAUGCAGAAUGUCCAAAAUGCUUGAGAAUUCUUCCAAUGCCAAAUCUUUGACGUCUUCACCUCAUUAACCUGUAACAAGAGCAAAAACCCAUUAAAAGUAACAUGAAAUACUCAAAAACUAGCAACAUACCAAGAUAAAUAAGAUUAAAUCGUAGGCUAAAAACCUACACAUCAAAUUCCCCCAAACUUGAAACAUUGCUUAUCCUCAAGCAAAAUGAUAUGCCAUGCAACUAUAACUACUAUAUACCUAAGAAUCCAGCAUUAAGACAAAACAUAGUCUAAUUAUACAGCCUCAGAGAAAUCGAGCAAACACGAUAGUAUAUCAUAUCUAGACCAAUCAAUAACUUUCCAAUCAAUCAUCAAAUCUUAAACUGUUAUUACUAAUAUAGUGCGUGUGAGCUCAACAACCAUACUAACUGAUAUAAUGCUAAAUACAACACAUAAUAGGUUUCUUUAAAGGCAUCAUACAGUGUAAACUCAUGAAAUCCAAGAACAAGCUAGAUCCAACUAAAAUCAAAAAUUUAACAAGUUCAAGAGUCCAAACGGGAUACUUAUGCUUUAUAUAUAUAUAUAUAUAUAUAUAUAUAUAUAUAUAUAUAUUUUCCACUUACGGGGGUUUUUUGCUUUUUUUUUCCCGUUUUAUUUUUUAUUUAUUUAUAAUAUUUCCCAUGGUUGUGCAAUGUCUAAUUCCCUUAGGCUUUUCAAUGCUACCUUAACGAGCUUUCGACCAACGACUCCCAAACCAAUUAAGGCCUUAGGGUGCUAGGUGUAAAGACACUCCCUUGGGCUUACUUACUCAAGUAAUAAAGGCCACGAAACUAGACUAACCAUGGUGUUUGUUCAUAUUUUUUUAUAUAUAUAGCUUAUAUACCCCAAAAUUUUCUCCAAACUUAGGUUCUUGCCUAACUUUAGCCAUCACUGCCUAUUCUCAUCAUUCUUUCAUUCAAACUAGUAUUAUCCUUAAGAAUUUCAUUAUGUGUCAAUUUAAACUUAAUAAGUCAACAAGGUUGUUCUAAAGUGCUAACCUUAUUAUAUCAGUUUCAAACAGAAAAAGAUUCAAUUCAUAACAGGAGAUCACAUCACAACCUAAAUAAUCAACGCAAUACUUGUCUACACAAUUCCAAUCUCAUCAUUGGCCAAAAUAGACUCUUGCUAUCUAAUAGUUGAAUUCAUGCAAGAUGAACUAAAUGCAAAUGCAAAAUAGAUUUUUUUUUAUGCAUGAAUGAAUAAAUCUAAACGCCAUUAUCAACAAAACAAUUAUAUUAAUUUAUCAAAAACUAAAUAACAUAACAAAAACUAACUAACAUGAAUAUGUAAUCGCCAACAUAAUUAAUUAAUCAAGCAAAAGCAAACCACCCCCCCCCCCCAAAAAANNNNNNNNNNNNNNNNNNNNNNNNNNNNNNNNNNNNNNNNNNNNNNNNNNNNNNNNNNNNNNNNNNNNNNNNNNNNNNNNNNNNNNNNNNNNNNNNNNNNGAAACUAGACUAGCCACGGUGUUUAUUCAUAUUUCUUUUCUUUUCUUUUCUUUUUCUUUUUCUUUUUCUUUUUUUUUCUUAAAGCUUAUAUAUCCCAAAUUUUCCCCCAAACUUAGGUUCUUGUCUAAUUUUAGCCAUCUCUGCCUAUUUAUGUCUUUCUUUCAUUCAAACUAGCAUUAUCCUUAAGAAUUCAAUUAUGUGUCAAUUUAAACUUAAUCAGUCAACAAGAUUGUUUCUAAAGUGCUAUCCUGAUUAUACCAGUUUCAAACAGAAAAAGAUUCAAUUCAUAACAGGAAAUCACAUCAAAGCCUUAAUAAUCAAUAUUAUACUUGUCUAAACAAUUCCAAUCUCAUCAUUGGCCAAAAUAUACUAUUACUAUCUAAUAGAUGGAUUCAUGCAAGAUGAACUAAAUGCAAAUGCAAUAUAAACAUGUAAGUAAAAAAAAUAUUUUUUUAUAUGCAUGAAUGAAUCAAUCUAAAUGCCAUCAUUAAUAAAAACAAUUAUAUUAAUUUAUAAAAAACUAACAUGAAUAUAUAAUCACCAACGGAAUUAAUUAAUCAAGCAAAAGCAAACCCCACCCCCCCAAAACUUAACAUAAGUAAUGUCUCCAUUACACCAAUAUAAAGAAAAUAAAAGCGCGAGGACUUCCCUGAAAGACGAGUCACUGCUCGUCGUCAUCCGAAGGAGGGUAUGCUGGGAGAACAGGAGGAACAUGCAUGGACACCAGACCAACACUUGGAUUGCAACGAGAAAAUGCUUCAGCAAGAGUGUUGAAAGCGUUGACAUUGUAUUGAAGCAUCAAAUCCUGAUGUUGAGCCAGCCAUAAAAAUUCAUUCUUUGUACCUCGUGAAGAGGUAGCAUGCUCAGACUGUGCUUUCCUUGGAUCAGUCGCGACCAGGGGUGAGGCUGGUCAAAUCAUGAUAUAACCUUCUCCUCUUGGAUGCGAUCUCGCCCCAUCCCAUGCCUUGCACUUUUAAAUGGUAGCAUGAUCGAUUAUGGCCAUUGGUUGAUGAAUCGGUUCAGAGGAAUGCCAUUGCACUCCCGCUUUUCAGCAUAAAUCGGUGAUGAGAAAUCCAUUAAGAAGGCCCCUCGUGGUACUUCCCCGUAGCAACUUGUCGAUCAAUUCUUGAAUGCAUUCACCCACAUCCACAUUGUAGAACAUAACUGAAUUAUUCACUCGAUAAUGGUGGUGUACAAUCCCAUAUAGCAGCCGCACACUUUCCUUAGUCACAUCAUUCUGAUGGCGUGUGGGCAUCAAUCGGGCACAAAUGAAGGCGUACCAUGCUUUGCCAUAACGACUUAAAGCUGAGUGGGGAAAGCUUAUCUUUUCAUUCGUUCCGGCUCGGGUAACCCAUUGUGUUCCUGGUUUGCACAAUCUUGCAAUCAGUUCAUCCAGAUCAGGCAAGCCGUCUUCACAGCGUGCAUCUGUCGGUGUUUCCAGCCUAAAGUACUCGUUGAUGGCAUUGGCAUGGAACGACACCGGUUUACCCCGUACCAUGACUGUGUGAUCAACAUGCUCCAUUGCGUUGGCAUAAAACUCUUUUACGAUGUUGAUCACCGCGGGUAGUGGUUGCUCCACUAGUUGAAACCAGUUGCGCUCCACAAUCAUUAAUGCCAUUUCUCCGUCAAGAUUGGCAUCCGUCUUCAAUCCCCGUUCUAAUACCAAAGUCUUCUUGUCAAUGGUCGAUUUGAACCUCGCCUCGGCACCCUAAAUUUUGUGCUAUCAAAUUGAGCCCAAGCAGUUGAAGUGGAUGGACGCGGUCUCUUAUGCGAAGACAUGGUGUUUUUAGUGUAAUAGAGGGUGAAAACUUGGUUCAGGCAAAUCGUCGAACAGUUGGCGGGCGUGAAGGCUAACACCCCCAAACUUGACUUCUUAGACAAACUCUAGGCCAAAAUACGAAAUACUCCAAUACACUCCUUGGGCAACAGUAUCCCAAGGAUUUCCAACCAAUGUUGUGAACAAGAAAGAAUCAGAACUAGGUUGCAAUAAUUUUGAAUUACCUUAAAGAAGAAAAUCCGUCUCCACCUUAUAGUGAUGCCCAAUUUGUGAGAAGUUGUGAGGAGGAAGAAUUGGACUUGGAAUGUAAGUGUGGUGCUUAUCUCUUAGAAUGGUUAUGGCUAAUUGAGAGAAGUAGAGUUGAUAUAGAAGAGGAAUUGCGGAUGAACGUGUAUGAGGAGUUAUGGUGGUUGUGGGUUAGUGGGAUGAAGAGAUGGGAAGAAGUAGAAGAGGUGUAGUUUAAUUUGAAUGUUAUGGAAGUUAUGGGAGAGUGGAAGAGUUUGAGUUGGGCAAGAAGUUGGGAAGGAUUGGUGUUAUGUGGAGUUAUAUUGGAAAAGGAGACGACAAACACGCUUUUAAAAUCUGACGUUACCGAACGGCGCGCCCCGCGCUGGGUGAAAGCUUAAGGUGGCACGGCCCGCGCUGGUUAUGCAGUGUCUACGCCCAGGAUGACGUGCCUUGCGCCAUAUAGUAGUGUACUCUGGCGCGCCCCGCGCUGGGUAGACAGAAAAAGUGUGAACAUGUUGGCGCGCCUCGCGCUGAUAAUGUAACAUGGCGCGCCCCGCGCUAUAGAGGCAGUGUUUGAGUGAUGUCUUUUUUCCUUGAUUCCCUGAAAUUAUACCACAAUGAAUUCAUUACUAUUAUAAUUAUUGAAAAAAAUAACUAUCUAAACUAUACUAUGAACUAAAAUUUACUGAAUAAAUGAAAUAGAAAAGGUUUAGAGCUUGGGUUGCCUCCCAAGUAGCGUUAGUUUUAACGUCGUCAGCCCGACGGUGAUCGGCAAGUGUAAUUGCAAUGGCUUCGUUGUCGAUGUCGCCACCCUAGUAAUGCUUUAACCUUAGCCCGUUGACUUUGAAUGUUUCAAGCAGAUUUCUGCUGUAUAGCUCAAUAGCGCCACGUGGGAAAACAAUCUUAAUCGUAAAUGGACCCGACCAUCGGGAUUUGAGCUUUUCGGGAAACAAUCUCAAUCGUGAAUUGAACAAUAAUACCGAUUGUCCCGGUUCAAACUUUCUCUGCAAAAUUUUUUGGUCGUGCCACUUGACUUUUUCUUUGUACAGCUUUGAGUUCUCAUACGCUUGCAGUCUAAAUUCAUCGAGUUCGUUCAAUUGGAGUAACCUCUUCUCUCCUGCAGCUGUUUGAUCAAAGUUGAGUUUCUGAAUGUCCCAAUAUGUCUUAUGCUGUAAUUCCACUGGGAGGUGACACGCUUUCCCGUCGACUAAUUGAUACGGAGACAUCCCAAUUGGCGUCUUGUAUGCUGUCCUGUAAGCCCAUAGUGCGUCAUCCAACUUUAGAGACCAAUCUUUUCUGCUCGGAUUUAUUACCUUCUCUAAAAUUUUCUUCACCUCUCUGUUUGAAACCUCAUUUUGACCACUCGUCUGGGGGUGAUAUGUUGUUGCAACCCUAUGAUUGACCCCGUACUUCGCCAAGAGAGCUGUAAAUGACUUAUUGCAGAAGUGACUUCCCUCGUCACUUAUGAUUGCUCUUGGCGUGCCAAAUCUCGUAAAUAUAUUCUUCUGUAGAAACUUAAGAACUACCUUGGCAUCGUUUGUAGGGAGUGCUACAGCUUCAACCCACUUGGACACGUAGUCCACAGCUAGCUAGAUGUACAGGUUGUUGAAUGAAGGAGGAAAAGGUCCCAUGAAGUCCAUCCCCCAUACAUCAAAAACCUCUACUUCCAUGAUGGUAUUGAGCGACAUCUCAUUCCUCUUUGAGAUAUUACCCACCCUUUGGCAUCUGUCAUAGUUUUUCACGAACUAGUGGGCAUCCUUAAACAUCGUAAGCCAAUAGAAUCCUGCUUGAAGUACCUUGGCUGCUGUCCGUUCACUACCAUAAUGUCCCAUAUGCAGAUGAAUGGCAUUCAUGCAAGAUAUUCUUUACUUCGCUGUAUGGCACACAUCUACGAAUCAUUUUGUCUGCACACUGUUUGAAUAAAUAGGGCUCGUCCCACAUGUACCACAUGACGUCAUGUAGGAACUUCUGUUGUCGUGUCAGAUCAUGGGGAAGGAUUUUGCUCACCAAGUAAUUGGCAAAAUCCGCAUACCAUGGAAACUCGGAGUUUACUCCAAAAAGCUGCUCAUCCGGAAACGAUUCAUUGAUUACACAUUUAUCUGCCCCAUCCUUAUCCGGAUUGUCCAGUCUUGAAAGAUGAUCCGCCACUUAAUUUUCUGUCCCCUUCCUAUACUUUAUUUUCAAGUUGAAUUCCUGAAGGAGAAGAAUCCAUCUGAUUAAUCUAGGCUUAGCAUCCUUCUUUGAGAUCAAAUAACGAAUCGCCGAGUGAUCCGUGUAUACCACCACCUUUGUUCCAAUCAAAUAUGCUCUGAAUUUGUCAAAGGCGUAUAUUACUCCAAGUAACUCCUCGGUGGUUGUGUAGUUUAAUUGGACAUCUGUGAGGGUUUUACUUGCGUAGUAUAUAACAUGGAAUAUCUUCUCUCGGCGUUGACCCAAAACAGCCCCUACCGCGUAGUCGCUAGCAACGCACAUUAACUCAAAAGGCCUCGUCCAAUCCGGUGCUACGAUCACUGGAGCUGUAGUCAACUUCUUUUUCAACUGUUCAAACGCUGCUUUGCACUCUUCAUCAAAACUGAAUAUUGCAUCUUUCUCUAAGAGAUUGCAUAAUGGUUUUGCAAUCUUAGAGAAGUCCUUUAUAAACCUGCGGUAGAAUCCGGCGUGUCCAAGAAAACUGCGGAUUCCUUUGACUGAAUUCGGCGGUGUAAGAUUCUCUAUUGUGUCCAACUUUGCCUUAUCAACCUCUAAGCCUUUCACAGAGACCUUGUGCCCCAGAAUUAUUCCUUCUUCAACCAUGACGUGGCACUUCUCCCAGUUAAGCACCAAGUUAGUUUCCACACAUCGCUUCAAAACCAUGACCAGAUUCUCUAGACACUUAUCAAAAGUGUUUCCAUAGACUGAGAAGUCGUCUAUGAAAACUUCCACAUUCUUCUCCACCAUGUUUGAGAAAAUAGCCAUCAUACAUCUUUGGAAAGUCACCGGUGCGUUACAUAACCCAAAGGACAUCCUUCUAAAUACAAAGGUGUCGUAUGGGCAUGUAAAAAUGGUCUUCUCUUGAUCCUUGGGAGCUAUGACUAUUUCGUUGUACCCCGAAUAUCCAUCCAGUAGACAGUAGUAUUCAUGCCCAGCUAACCGGUUUAACAUCUGGUCAAUGAAGAGUAGAGGAAAGUGAUCCUUCCGGGUUGCCUUAUUCAGCUUUCUGUAGUCCAUGCAAACCUUUCAUUCGGUCACUGUCUUCGUCGGAAUCAGUUCAUUGUCAUCAUUCUUAACCACUGUCAUCCCACCCUUUUUCGGAACGCAUUGAACUGGGUUGACCCAUGCACUGUCUGAAAUAGGGUAAAUAAUUUUAGCAUCCAACCACUUCAAAAUUUCUUACUUUACCACUUAUUUCAUGAUCGGAUUUAGUCGUCUCUGUUGUUCCACUGUUGGCUUUGCAUCAUCUUCCAUGAGAAUCUUGUGCAUGCAAAAGGAAGGGUUGAUCCCCUUAAUGUCGGCAAUUGUCCAUCCUAUCGCAGACUUGUAUUCUCUCAAAAUCCUCAGCAAUUUAUUUUCCUGCAAUUCGUUAAGCGCAGAUGCAAUAAUAACAGGUAAAGUAUUUGAAUCACUCAAAUAAGCAUACCUGAGGUGUUUAGGAAGCGGUUUAAGCUCAAGAGUGGGUGGCUCCUCAAGUGAAGGUUUCAUCCGAGCUGAAGCUUUUUCUUCCGUGUGUAGUGGCUCGAACGGAACCUUGAAUCUACUAACUCGAGGCAAAGAAACCAGCAUAUGUAAGUAAUCCACGAACUCUGGACCAUCUAAGUCUUCAUCCCCCAGUAGUGUAUUUUCCAAUGGAUCUUUGACCAAAUUUUUAACCAAGUCUUCAUUGACUAUUUUGUCGAUCACCCCCAACCGGAAACACUCCUACUCAACUGUGGAAAAACCUUCUGGCCUUAAACACAUUGAAUUUGAUUUCCUGGUCUUGAACCUUCAUGGUUAAUUCUCCUUUUUGAACAUCGAUGAGAGUCCUACCCGUAGCCAAAAAUGGUCUCCCUAGGAUGAUUGAGAUGUUUUUGUCCUCUUCAUAAUCCAGAAUUAUAAAAUCUGCUGGAAAGAUAAAUUUAUCCACCUUAACCAAAAUGUCUUCCCCAAUUCCUCUUGGAUAUUUCACCGAUCUAUCCGCUAACUGUAGAGAAAUGUUUGUAGGCUUCGGAGCUGGCAAACCCAAUUGAGCAUAAACAGAUAACGGCAUAAGGUUCACACUUGCCCCCAAAUCACACAAACACUUGUUGAAGGCCAUAUUACCGAUCGUGCAAGGAAUAGUGAAACUCCCCGGAUCCUUUAACUUCGGAGUUAACUUUCUUUGUUGAACUGCACUGCAUUCCUCCGUGACUCCGUCAACGCUACAGUUUCGUAAUCUUCUAACUUCUUUUUCCUUGACAGAAUCCCUUUCAUGAAUUUAGCAUAACUCGACAUUUGCUCUAGGGCUUCUGCGAUGGGAAUGUUGAUAUGAAGUUUAUUGAAAACUUCGAAAAACUUUGAGAAUUGCUUGUCUAAUUUUUGUUUUUGGACCCUCUGCUGAAACGGUGGUGGAGGGUACACAACUGGCUCAACAUCAGACUUGCUCGUGUCCCCUUGCUUUUCCUCACCCUGUUUCUCUUCAACCACUUUGUCUUCACCUUCUUUGUCAUCUUUCAUCACUGACUUUUCUGCAUUCUUCUCCUCAAGAUGCUUUGCACUCCUCAAAGUGAUUGCUUGACACUGCUCGUGAUUUUCCUUCGGAUUCUUUUCUGUGUCACUAGGUAGAGUCCCUUGAGGCCUAUUAUUAAGUGCUAAGGCAAGCUGUCCCAUCAGAUGUUCUAAGUUUUUGAUGGUCACUGCUUGUGAUUUCAUUGCCGCCUUAUUUCCCGAUAUAUACUUCAAUAAAAGCUCUUCUAAAUUUGUCUUUUUCUCUUGCUGUGGAGUUGCUUGUUGAUGCUGAUUUUGAAACCCCGGGGGAUAAGGUCAUGGAGCAUGCUGAUUUUGAUUGUUACUCCAUGAGAAGUUGGUAUUGUUCCUAUUCCCCGGAUUGUAGGCAUUUUGAUACAUAGUUUGCGGAAUCCUAUUGUAGCUCUGCCCACAAACUGUACCGCUGCUGGGUUAAUGGCACAUUGUUCUGUAGGAUGUUCCCUCGUACACAAUUCGCAAACAUACGCAACCUGCUGUGUUUGUGUAUGUGUAAGAGCAUCCAUUUUAUUCGACAACGCUGAAAUUUGUGCUGCUAAUGCCGUUACCCCAUCUACCUCUAACACCCCAGUUACCUUAGGCUGUGUCAUUCUCGUUGUGGACCACUGGUAGUUGUUAGCCGCCAUUGUUUCUAUUAACUCAUACGCCUCAUAACUCUUAGUCAUGAAUGCUUCACCUGAAACUACAUCUAUGCUAGUCCUGAGAUUACCACUCAAUUCAUUGUAGAACGUGUUCAUCUGCAGCCAUUUAGGUAAUCCAUGAUGUGGGCAUUUUUUGAAUAGUUCCUUGUACCUUUCCCAUGCCUCAUACAAUGAUUCCCCAUGCAGCUGCUCAAACAUCGUAAUCUCGUUUCUCAUCUUAGCAGUAUUGGCUGGUGGAAAAAACUUAGCCAGGAACUUCUGAGCAAGGUCGUCCCAUGUAGUAAUCGACCCUGGCGGUAGAGAGUGUAACUAACUUUUCGCCUUGUCCCAUAGUGUGAACGGGAACAAGUGAAGUCUGACUGCAUCAUUUGACACCCCAUUGUAUCUGAAGGUAUCACAUAUUUUCAGAAAGCUAACCAAGUGCUCAUUUGGAUCGUCGUUGUCUAAUCUCCCAAACUGCACCGAGUUAUGUAUCAUUUGUAUGGUCCCAGGCUUGAUCUCAAAAUUGUUCCCAGCUAUCGCCGGCCUGGUGAUACUCGACUGAACCUCAGUCACCCUAGGAGUAGCAUAAUCCCUUAGCGCUUUCUGAUCUUAUGCAGUCAUUAUUUCUUCCUUGUCAAGAUUCUCCUUAGUGUCCUUAAUCUACUUGCUCAACCUUUGAAACCGUUUCUCGAUAUCGUCCUCGAAAGGAAGCAAGUCUGGCUUCUAAGACCGAGUUCGCAUAAACUAACUCAGAGGACCUAAAACAAGAAAGAACAAAACACAAAGAAAAAUUUGUCUAAGUAAAACUGAACUAAUUAAACUGAUAUUGAAAAAUAUUAAAAUAAAUUCAACUCCCCGACAACGGCGCUAAAAACUUGUUGGUCGAAUUCUAAAUAUGCUCAGCACGCAAGUGCACGUGGUCAACAAGUAAUAUAGUGAUAAGAAAAGAAUCUUUCCCACAGAGAAUAGUAAGAAAUUAAACAACAAUUCUGGUGAUGCAGAAUGUCCAAAAUGCUUGAGAUUUCUUCUAAUGCCAACUCUUUGACGUCUUCACCUCAUUAACUUGUAACAAGAGCAAAAAUCCAUCAAAAGUAACAUGAAAUACUCAAAAACUAGCAACAUACCAACCUAAAUAAGAUUAAAUCGUAGGUUAAAAACCUACUCAUCAUUAAUGCCUAAAAACUGUUUGGUGAGAAUACAUUGAAACUGAACUACUGCUACAACAUGAAUUAGUUUGGAAUAGCAUGUUAUUUAUAGACAAACCGCCUAAUCUUCAUAGACCCUAACCAGCAGAGUAUAAAACAAAAUGGACAUAUUCCACUCUUUCAUUCAAUUGUUGCCAGCUUCUCUUCGUCUACCUCAAAAGCCUUCCUGGCUUGUUUCAGCUCCUCAUUCAGAGCAACAAUGUAUUUACUUUGUUGGCCAGCAUGACAUCUAAAUAUGAGACUUUUAACAAAAUAGGCUCGGACUUUUAACAGCUCUGUUAAUCAAGAUUUUUCUGAAGCAGACUCGAGUAAUGCAAACAAUUACUUUAGCUCUGUCAAUCAAGAAUUUGAGCUAGUCUACAAAUACUUUACUAGAUUCCUUCUCAAGUACAAAGCAAACCAAAGGAAUGCAAACAAUUAAUUAUAGAACUCUGUUGUGCAAUAAUUACUCUACCUUAUUAUAAAAACAAAGAAAGCUCACCAGGCCACCACCAAAAUAAACAAACCACCAGCAAAAUACAAGCCCUAAACACCCAUAUGCGAUAUAUAGACAAAUUGACAUAAAUAGAGAGAAAUUCAUCGACUAAAUCUUAAAAUAAACUCAAAAUUACCUAAGAAAAAUUUUAGUUAUGGAGUUGGAGACGGGCAACAGCGAGUCGACGACUGACGACUGACGACUGACGACUGACGACUGACGACUGACGACUGACGACUGAAGAGUGAAUCAGAAACGAGUCGGAGGUUGGCCGGUGGGAGAGGAUGGAUUGGAGAAUUUGAGAUGGAGAAAAAGGUUCGAGAUGGAGACAAAGGUUCGAGGAUAUGGUCCGAGGACUGAGGAUAUGGUCUGAGGUUCGAGAUGGAGAGAAAGGUUUCGGAAUAAACUCAAUAAAGUGACGAUUGAAGCUGUGAAAG